GGUCUUACGAGCUUUCUGGAACGGCCCUGUUGGCCCCAAAACAACUCAUUUCUGGGGGCCAGUCGCCAAUGGGGGUUUUGUCGUUGCUGUAAGUAUACUCCCAUCACCUGCACUCUUCCAAUUUGUUCUUAGUACCGAUAUGCUUUCUUCCUGCUCUCGUCAGUCUCUUAUGUUAUUGAGAGAUUGGAUAAGCCGAAAGAAGAAGAAAAAGAGAGAACUUGAUACAUCAUCACCAACCUUAAGCUAUUUCUUUCUUGUUCUCAUCUUCCAAGAGAUCAGAUGGGAAACUGCAAUUUGCUCAAAGAGAAAGGAACAGUUCUGACUGUUGUUGUCCUAAAGUUUUCCAGAUGACAACAAACACAUGGUAAUCUCUCAAGAAAUUGGCAAGUCAAUCAAUAAUCAAGAUUCUGCUGUAAAAUAAUAGAUUGCUUAAAUUAUGCAGACAUUAUUAGCCUGAUGAAUUAAUUCUAAUGAGUGAUAAUUCCAACAUACUGGAUAUGAUUCUCCUCCACUGUUGAUCUGUUUGACAACUGCUGCUGCUGCUCUUCAGGCAAUGGCUGACAUGAAAAAACCUGCUGAA
Molecule: long non-coding RNA, 580 nt
Filed under: Musa acuminata (dwarf banana)
Lineage: Eukaryota; Viridiplantae; Streptophyta; Magnoliopsida; Zingiberales; Musaceae
Description: long non-coding RNA (MACU_LNC001211)
Source: RNAcentral